Desulfacinum hydrothermale DSM 13146 is the source of this 73-nucleotide transfer RNA. It matches the Rfam family "tRNA". Rfam says of the family: Transfer RNA (tRNA) molecules are approximately 80 nucleotides in length. Their secondary structure includes four short double-helical elements and three loops (D, anti-codon, and T loops). Further hydrogen bonds mediate the characteristic L-shaped molecular structure. tRNAs have two regions of fundamental functional importance: the anti-codon, which is responsible for specific mRNA codon recognition, and the 3' end, to which the tRNAs corresponding amino acid is attached (by aminoacyl-tRNA synthetases). tRNAs cope with the degeneracy of the genetic code in two manners: having more than one tRNA (with a specific anti-codon) for a particular amino acid; and 'wobble' base-pairing, i.e. permitting non-standard base-pairing at the 3rd anti-codon position. Lineage: Bacteria; Pseudomonadati; Thermodesulfobacteriota; Syntrophobacteria; Syntrophobacterales; Syntrophobacteraceae. The record is from Rfam.
GGGGCUGUAGCUCAGUUGGGAGAGCGCUUGAAUGGCAUUCAAGAGGUCAGGGGUUCGACUCCCCUCAGCUCCA